CUGGAAUGGCUUAUGGCCUAAACAGUUUACUGCCAUGGGAUGGGACUGCGGCCUAUCAGCUUGUUGGUGAGGUAAUGGCCCACCAAGGCUAUAACAGGUACGGGCUCUGAGAGGAGAAGCCCGGAGAUGGGUACUGAGACACGGACCCAGGCCCUAUGGGGCGCAGCAGGCGAGAAACCUUAGCAAUGUGCGAAAGCACGACUGGGUCAGUCCGAGUGAUUCCUGAUAAAGGAGUCUUUUAUCUGUCCUAGAAGCACAGGUGAAUAAGGGGUGGGCAAGUCUGGUGUCAGCCGCCGCGGUAAUACCAGCACCUCGAGUGGUCAGGACGUUUAUUGGGCCUAAAGCAUCCGUAGCCGGCUUUGCAAGUCUUCGGUUAAAUCCACCUGCUCAACAGAUGGGCUGCUGGAGAUACUACAAAGCUAGGGAGUGGGAGAGGCAGACGGUAUUCAGUGGGUAGGGGUAAAAUCCUCUGAUCCAUCGAGGACCACCAGUGGCGAAGGCGGUCUGCCAGAACACGUUCGACGGUGAGGGAUGAAAGCUGGGGGAGCAAACCGGAUUAGAUACCCGGGUAGUCCCAGCUGUAAACGAUGCAAACUCGGUGAUGCAUUGGCUUAUGGCCAAUGCAGUGCCGCAGGGAAGCCGUUAAGUUUGCCGCCUGGGAAGUACGGACGCAAGUCUGAAACUUAAAGGAAUUGGCGGGGGAGCACCACAAGGGGUGAAGCCUGCGGUUCAAUUGGACUCAACGCCGGU
This 750-nucleotide ribosomal RNA is filed under the name uncultured archaeon. RNAcentral's name for it is "bacterial SSU rRNA". It matches the Rfam family "Archaeal small subunit ribosomal RNA", at positions 170 to 922 of the family's 1478-position model. The record is from RNAcentral.